UGCAGGUUGAUUGGAGCGUUUUGAUCGAAAAACCUCACAAAGAAAUCUCAACGUAUUUCUUCCAUGUGGGGUUAUAUCAUUGUUUUCUGCAGUUCUGGGAGAAUUCUGUGAGUGUCUCGCAGAUCACCAGCCUUGAUGACUGUGUAUCCAGGAAAAAGGAAAGCUGUCUGAUCUCUGUAAACCAUUGAUCACAGACUCCUGCAGGGAAGAACAACAGGUAUCUGAGUUCAGUUGUACCUGCUGGAUAGAAAUGGUUGAUCCACAGGGUGCUGUAGCCCAGGGAUGGUCUAAAUGUGGAAGAAUUGUGAUAAAGACAAAAGACCUCAAAUGGUGCACUCGGAGAAACCUGGAAGAGGACAGACUUACAGCUAGCCCAGUAACCAUGACAGCCCCAACCACUCAAACACACCAGAAUCCAAAAGGGAAGAUUAUGACUCCUAGCUUGAGGAUGGAGAAACAGAGGCGGUGAAGGCACCUGCUGCUGGAUCAGGUGGCUGUUGUUUGAAUGCUCCUGAGUCACAAGGACCCCAUUUGAUGACACAAAGUAGUAUGGAAUGAUAGAGAUCCAGCUUCACCCUUGGAAAAUCAAGUUACUAUAAGGUAAGUUCCAUUUUGAAGAGAGAGAACUUUUAUUUUGCAAAAUGUUUAUUUUCACUACUUACUGAUGGGAAAGCCAUUUCUUUCAGGCCCACUUUAGACUGAAUUGUUAAGAUGGCAGUUCUCAUUAGACUAAUUAGUCAUAUUAUAUUUAAGACAUUUUUAACUUGUUCACUUUUCUUUGCAUUAGCUGGAUUUUCGAGAACCUAUGGGAGGGAGGUACCCAAAUCCCACUGGGAUACAACUGGAGUUGGGCACUUAACUCCUUUGCACUCCUUUGAAAUUUCCAGCCAUAAUGUCUAGAAUACCUAAAUUACGCUGUCAUUUGCCAUCAUUUCUAGUUCCCCUGGAAAUUAAGUAUGAGUACACCCACUUCCUCAGUUUACACCGUACAGCACAUUUUCACCAGUGUGCAAAGGGAAGUUUUAUCCACUGCACAACCAUACACAUCAGACUUUCAGGCCAAAUGAGCAAUGCCUCCUAGAGUGAUAUGGAAAGUGCACAGUCAGCAGUCUGUGUAUUUAUAUUGCAUUCAUAACUGUCAUCUGAUCACCCAAGUGAUGCUUAGCAGUACAGUUGGGAAAAAAAACCCUGAGUUUCAAUGGUCUUUGUAAAGUUCAGAGCUGACAUGUCAGAGUUUGGUAACAAGAGUCAAGAAAUACAUUGAAGUUUAAAAAAAAAUUAUAGUGUAACAUUUUCAAAAGCACCUUCGUUACUUAGGAGUCCAAGUCCUAGGAUGUAGGUGCCUAAACUCUUUAGAUGCUUUUGAAAAGUUCAUCCACAAGUUUUUAAUAGAAUCAACUUAGAUGUGAAGGGUCGUCGUACCCUGCACUAAGCCUGGCAUUUUCAAAGGAGCCCAAAGGAGUCACGUGCCAAACUCCACUGAAUUUUAAUGGGACUUGGGCAUCUAACUGCAUUAUGCUGCUUUGAAAAUCCCAGCCUAACAUCUCUGAACAUCAGGGAAGGACUUUCAGCUACAGUCAAAGAGCUACAGCAGAAACAGCCAGUUGAGAGACAAGGCCACUUCACCAGUUCCAAAUUCAUUCCUGCCUCACAAUGCAGAAGCCUUUGAUGUAGUCAUUGCUUUGAACGCUUGUAAAUUUUGGCCGAAGGACGUGUACUGCGCUCACACAAGAUCAUGGACACCUGCCUUUUCGGUGUGUUUUAUUAC
This is a long non-coding RNA of Chelonia mydas (Green sea turtle), 1768 nucleotides long. RefSeq lists it as uncharacterized. The record is from RefSeq and is a predicted model, not a curated record. The transcript is spliced from 3 exons. Lineage: Eukaryota; Metazoa; Chordata; Testudines; Cheloniidae.